Molecule: ribosomal RNA, 1397 nt
Filed under: metagenome
Description: bacterial SSU rRNA
Rfam family: Bacterial small subunit ribosomal RNA
Source: RNAcentral
AGAGUUUGAUCCUGGCUCAGAACGAACGCUGGCGGCGCGUUUCAGGCAUGCAAGUCGAAGGACCUAUUUAAGCUUGCUUUAAUAGGGACUGGCGAACGGGUGAGUAACACGUGAGAAUCUAGCCUGAAGUGGGGGAUAGCCUAUGGAAACAUAGGAUAAUACCGCAUAUGCUGAAAGGUGAAAGAGGCUUCGGCCUCGCUUUAGGGUGAGCUUGCGGUCCAUUAGUUAGUUGGUAAGGUAAUGGCUUACCAAGACCGCGAUGGAUAGCCGGCCUGAGAGGGUGAUCGGCCACAUUGGGACUGAGACACGGCCCAGACUCCUACGGGAGGCAGCAGCUAAGAAUAUUCCGCAAUGGGAGAAAUCCUGACGGAGCGACGCCGCGUGAACGAUGAAGGCAGAAAUGUUGUAAAGUUCUUUUUUAUGGGAAGAAUAAUGAUAGUAGGUAAUGAUUAUCAGAUGACGGUACCAUAAGAAUAAGCUCCGGCUAACUACGUGCCAGCAGCCGCGGUAAUACGUAGGGGGCAAGCGUUGUUCGGAUUUGUUGGGCGUGAAGGGCAUUAGGCGGUUAUAUAAGUGUGAAUUUAAAGGCUAAAGCUUAACUUUAUGUUUGGUUUGCAAACUGUAUAACUAGAGUACAGAAGGGGAGACUGGAAUUCCACGUGUAGGGGUGAAAUCUGUAGAGAUGUGGAAGAAUACCGGUGGCGAAGGCGAGUCUCUGGUCUGUAACUGGCGCUAAUAUGCGAAAGUGUGGGGAGCAAACAGGAUUAGAUGCCCUGGUAGUCCACACUGUAAACGUUGCACACUAGGUGUUAGUAGUUUGUUCUACUAGUGCCGUAGCUAACGCAUUAAGUGUGCCGCCUGGGGAGUAUGCUCGCAAGGGUGAAACUCAAAGGAAUUGACGGGGGCCCGCACAAGCGGUGGAGCAUGUGGUUUAAUUCGACGAUACGCGAAAAACCUUACCAGGACUUGACAUUUAAGUGAUCGAUACAGAGAUGUGUCUUCCCUCCGGGGCGCUUAAACAGGUGCUGCAUGGCUGUCGUCAGCUCGUGUUGUGAGAUGUUGGGUUAAGUCCCGCAACGAGCGCAACCCCUACUGUUAGUUGCCAUCAGGUUAAGCUGGGCACUCUAGCAGAACUGCCGGUGACAAACCGGAGGAAGGUGGGGAUGACGUCAAGUCCUCAUGGCCCUUAUGUCCUGGGCUACACACGUGCUACAAUGGGCUGUACAAAGGGUUGCAAGACCGCGAGGUGGAGCCAAUCCCAAAAAGCAGUCCUUAGUUCGGAUUGGAGUCUGCAACUCGACUCCAUGAAGUUGGAAUCGCUAGUAAUCGCAGAUCAGAAUGCUGCGGUGAAUACGUUCCCGGGCCUUGUACACACCGCCCGUCACACCAUCCGAGUC